Molecule: transfer RNA, 68 nt
Filed under: bovine gut metagenome
Rfam family: tRNA
About the family: Transfer RNA (tRNA) molecules are approximately 80 nucleotides in length. Their secondary structure includes four short double-helical elements and three loops (D, anti-codon, and T loops).
Source: RNAcentral
CAGGUGUGGUUCAAUGGUAGAACAUCAGCCUUCCAAGCUGAAUACGUGGGUCCGAUUCCCAUCACCUG